UAAGACUCCAUCAGAUAUUCUCUUAUAGAUCAAUUCAGUGAACUCAUUCUCUAAUAAGCACCCACAUCCUUAUAUUAGUAUCAUCACACAAGUGAUUGUGACAUCAACCAUCCUCAUCACUGAGCAUACAUAGGAUGUGCCAGUCUUUUCGAUAUCAUUGAUUCUCAACUCAAUGAAUCAAUGAUUAAAAAUAAUUUAGAUGAGGACUAUCAAAGAUUUAGAUCUCACUGGUAUGAUCUCAUUACGGC
RNAcentral lists this long non-coding RNA (248 nucleotides) under Elaeis guineensis (African oil palm). Its description in RNAcentral is "long non-coding RNA (EGUI_LNC033139)". Lineage: Eukaryota; Viridiplantae; Streptophyta; Magnoliopsida; Arecales; Arecaceae. The record is from RNAcentral.